CGGCGAACGGGUGAGUAAUGCGUGACCAACCUGCCCCAUGCUCCAGAAUAGCUCUUGGAAACGGGUGGUAAUGCUGGAUGCUCCAACUUGACGCAUGUCUUGUUAGGAAAGUGUUUAGUGGCAUGGGAUGGGGUCGCGUCCUAUCAGCUUGUAGGCGGGGUAAUGGCCCACCUAGGCUUCGACGGGUAGCCGGCCUGAGAGGGCGGACGGCCACAUUGGGACUGAGAUACGGCCCAGACUCCUACGGGAGGCAGCAGGU
This 259-nucleotide ribosomal RNA is filed under the name uncultured Gardnerella sp. Its description in RNAcentral is "partial 16S ribosomal RNA". It matches the Rfam family "Bacterial small subunit ribosomal RNA", at positions 96 to 354 of the family's 1533-position model. Lineage: Bacteria; Bacillati; Actinomycetota; Actinomycetes; Bifidobacteriales; Bifidobacteriaceae. The record is from RNAcentral.